GCGCCCGUAGUGUAACGGAAAACAUCCGACCCUGCUAAAGUCCGGGAUGCUGGUUCGAUUCCAGCCGGGCGCA
Molecule: transfer RNA, 73 nt
Filed under: Pseudomonadota bacterium
Lineage: Bacteria; Pseudomonadati; Pseudomonadota
Description: Proteobacteria bacterium tRNA-Ser
Rfam family: tRNA
About the family: Transfer RNA (tRNA) molecules are approximately 80 nucleotides in length.
Source: RNAcentral